RNAcentral lists this long non-coding RNA (1393 nucleotides) under Ficedula albicollis (Collared flycatcher). Its description in RNAcentral is "lncRNA (ENSFALG00000022926.1)". The record is from RNAcentral. Lineage: Eukaryota; Metazoa; Chordata; Aves; Passeriformes; Muscicapidae.
AUGCUGUCAUUUAACUCACAACUUCGCUUUUUGUGUUUCCCCCUGUUUUGGUCCCAGAAAGUGCUCCCUUGUGCCUUACUAGCCUUUUUCUCUUCCCUUCUGCCCAUGUUCCCUACCCAGAGUGCUGAUUCUCACCCUCUGCCCUCUCCCGCAGCGCUCGGUCUCCCCACACAGCUCCCGGGCCAUGCAGCCCCCGCUCGCCCCCGGUGUGCGGGACUCUCCCGCAGCCCUCGGUCUCCCCACACAGCUCCCGGGCCAUGCAGCCCCCGCUCGCCCCCGGUGUGCGGGCCUCUCCGGCGCCGCUGGCCAACACCUCCAUCUCCCGGACACAGCACACACGGCACCAGCCACACGCCUUCUCUGCCCUCCCCUGCUCGCUAACGUUAUCGACACCUUGUGCUCGAUCCAUGAGCUUCAGGGAUUCCAAGCUGUUAACUGAAGGUUUUUUUUACAGGAGACAAGACCUGUGGAUUAAACUUUGAAGGGAUCUUCACAAGACUGCUGGAACACAGAGACGGCAGUUCGCUUAAGAGGUUUGUGCUUGACAUGCUGAGGUCUUCACCUGUACAGGGAAUAAUUUGAAAAUCUGUAAAUAAAUUUAUAAAACCUUUGAUUUUUGACCAGUGAAUUCUGAAAAUUUCAUUUGCUAGCAGUCAUAUGCCUGUCUUCCUAUCUCUGCAUCUGUUCCUAGCCGAAGUCUACCCAAGUCUGUUUCAAAGAAAUGCAAUGUGCAGCUGAGCAUUGCUGAGCUAAUUCAAUACAUCAGUACAUUCUGGAUUUCUUUUUCCUGCCUCAGUGCUGAACUAUGUACCAAAAUCACGUGCUGGGAACCAAAACCAGAGUUUGGUACACGGCUGGAAGAGAGCAGCCAGCUCACAAUACGGACAUUUCCUAUCUUCCGCCUCAAUUUUCCCAUCAGUUUCAACUGGACGUUUGAAGCCUUCGUCAGCGAAACCGCCUCCUGAUACCUGACAUACUAACGGAGAGCUUUGUGCCAUAGUAACACAAAGCAAACUGAUUUGCAUUGAAAAUAAAAGAGGAAAAAAAUUUCCACUAGGACCGCCCUGCGCCCCGCCCCGAGGGCAGGGAGCCGCGCCCCUCAGGGCGCCGGCCUCAGGGCGCCGGCCCCGCCCCGCGGCGCCUGCGCCCUACUCCCGCGCACGCGCUCUGAGGGAGCUCUGCCCCACGUACUUCCCGGUCGCGGUCCCGUGCCGCUGCCCCGUUCCCGUCCCGUUCCCCUCGUUCCCACCCCGCCGCACUGCCCGCGGGCGAUGCGGUGCUCCCGGCGCAGGGCAGGCGGGGGGGGGGGGGGGGGGGGGGGGGGGGGGGGGGGGGGGGGGGGGGGGGGGGGGGGGGGGGGGGGGGGGGGGGGGGGGGGGGGGGGGGGGGGGGG